This 492-nucleotide ribosomal RNA is filed under the name uncultured bacterium. Its description in RNAcentral is "partial 16S ribosomal RNA". It matches the Rfam family "Bacterial small subunit ribosomal RNA", at positions 29 to 507 of the family's 1533-position model. The record is from RNAcentral.
AGUGAACGCUGGCGGCAGGCCUAAUACAUGCAAGUCGAACGAACAGACGAUGAGCGUUCGCCUCUGACGUUAGCGGCGGACGGAUGGGUGACACGUGGAUCGGCUACCUAUUAUACGUGGAUGACUUCGUGGGACCGGAUCUACUACUAGAUAAUAUGUUGUACCGCAUAGUUCAGUAGUUAAAGACGCUUUUCCUGUCACUUAUAGAUGACGUCGCAUUAGCUAGUUGGCAUGGUAACGGAACACCAAGGCAACGCUCCGUAGCUGAUCUGAGAGGAUGAUCGGCCACACUGGAACUGAGACACGGUCCAGACUCCUACGGGAGGCAGCAGUAGGGAAUAUUGCACAAUGGGCGAAAGCCUGACGGAGCAAUGCCGCGUGAGUGAAGAAGGUCUUCGGAUCGUAAAACCCUGUUAUUAGGAAAGAAAAACUGUGUAAGAAACCACGGACGUCCUGACGGUACCUAAACAGAAAGCAACGGCUAACUACGUG